This 165-nucleotide ribosomal RNA is filed under the name uncultured Brevibacillus sp. Its description in RNAcentral is "partial 16S ribosomal RNA". It matches the Rfam family "Bacterial small subunit ribosomal RNA", at positions 369 to 527 of the family's 1533-position model. Lineage: Bacteria; Bacillati; Bacillota; Bacilli; Caryophanales; Paenibacillaceae. The record is from RNAcentral.
UCAUGGACGAAGUCUGAUGGAGCACGCCGCGUGAACGAUGAAGGUCUUCGGAUUGUAAAGUUCUGUUGUCAGGGACGAACACGUACCGUUCGAAUAGGGCGGUACCUUGACGGUACCUGACGAGAAAGCCACGGCUAAAUACGUGCCAGCAGCCGCGGUAAUACA